UCUCUCUCUCACACUCUCUCUCACUCUCUCUCCCUCUCACUCUCACUCUCUCACUCUCACUCGGUUGUGUCUGGAACAAAAACGAUAGGGGACGUACAUUUUGAGAGGCGCAGAGAAUAGGCGAUCACGCAGAGUAGGAACAAAAGCCGUCUGUUAUGAAAGGACCAAACAGUGAAGCUGCAGCGUUUGGGUUUCUGGCCACGUUCGCCGAUGCCGCGUGAGUGGAGGGGAGAAACAACCGAUUCCAAUCGCUCUUUCUCGUGGUCUAGGCUGGGGAGAAUACUGCGUGUGUUUCCAUUUAGUACAAUAACCUCAUUUAUCUCUCUUGCCAUUCAAGCACAAGUCAUAUUUUUGGGGCACAUUUUAGUCGGAUAAACUUCAUUGAUUAAUUUGAUGAGCAAUAUAAACUUUUGAAAUAUCUUUAACAAGAAUCAAAAAGGAUAUCUGGUACUAUUUUGGAUUCUAAAGAGGCCCUGUUGAAGAAGAAAAAGUGAUUGUACAUACUGUCAGAAAACAAGAUGGCGUCUCAUGUUACCUUGAGGUCUCAGAUACCAGGGACUGGGAGGAGGAGGGCCCAGGUCAAGCCUACAAGGAACAACCACCAAUUUACAGAUGGAGGAUGAGAAAAAGAAAGAGAGUGGGCGGAUGGAGUGAAGGAUGAAGGCUGGGUAGACAACUGAACAGAGACAGGCCCUAUGCGGCAGUUCAUUCGUUCAUCGCCAUGGGCUCUUGUCCUCCUCUCUCCUCCCCUGGUCUAUACUCCCAUCACAGGGUCAUUUGGAGUGAGUGAGGCCCAAAAACAGAGCUUGUGAGUGGGCUGGCAAUGCAGGAAGAAGUCCCUGCUGGUUACCAGCACCUCUGAAGCUAACGGCAAAAUAAAUCAAUAUGGAGAAGACAAUGUUAGCCCACAGCCUAGGGGCCUGAAGACCUCCAGAGGAGAGGCCCAUCUCAACCUUGCUCAGCCCCAGCCAAAGUUCCUGAGACUGGGCCUGGGUCCCUACCCGCACUGGGUGUGUGUGGUUCUGCUGCUGGAGGGGGCCUCCCAACAAACAACACAUGAUACACGCUCUCCUGAGUUAUCGUUUCUUUUUUUGAAAGAAUGCUUAAGGGGAUAUCCCUCUCUUUAUUUCUCUUUUCUUAAAAAUAAGAUUGACAUACUCCCCUACCUUCCCUGUGUUGCUGUGUGUAAAUGCUGGCAGAAGGGUUCACAUUUUGAUUCAGACUUCAAAUCCACUCACUGCUUAUUCCCUGGGACACUUUUACAUUUGACAAAGAGACAGUUUACACUGGUGUGCUUCCUCCAAAGCAGUAUACAAACCACAACAACCACUAAAAUUGACAUUUUUUAAAACAUAUUUUUAUUAGGCUCUUUAUUGUUCAAUUCCAAUGUCUUUUUUUAUUUGGCAUGAUCAAAGACCAUAGACAGACGACUAAAACCCAGGCCCAGUAAAACCCAUGUCAGAUCUCCAAUCAACACUGUUCCUUCAUUCUGACCAGCUAGAAAAAAUGGACGAAAAGGAUCCUGGACAACACAAGACCACGAAAAGGAUCCUGGACAACACAAGACCACGAAAAGGAUCCUGGACAACACAAGACCACGAAAAGGAGCAGUACAGAUGACUAGACACUCCCUGAAGAACACAGUACCAGCAGAGACACGCAUACAGUGAGCGCCAAAAGUAUUGGGACCGUGACACAUUUUUUUGUUGUCGUUUUGGCUCUGUACUCCAGCACUUUGGAUUUGAAAUGAUACAAUGACUAUGAGGUUAAAGUGCAGACUGUCAUCUUUAAUUUGAGGGUAUUUUCAUCCAUAUCGGAUGAAAAUUACAGCACUUUUUACGAACAUGUGAGCGUGAAAGAAGGAAGGCGCUGGAUUGGACCAACCGGAUCACAAGACCUUGUGGAGCUCUCCCAUUGGUUCACCUAAGAAAAGAGCGGGAAAAAACACUCCUUUGACUUCAAGCUUUCUAUGAAGAUUCAUGGGAUGUUGAGUAAAAUGGACAUCUAAAACUGGACAAAAUCCCAAUACAGAAAUUGCCUCUUCAAUAUUGCUAUUUAAUAAUGAUGUACACUCACCCCCGUUUAUCAUAGCUGACUGUUGCUUUCUGUUCUCUGAAACCAUUCUAUUUUUUUGUUGUUUCAAUGAUCACAUAUAAUUAGUUUAGUCUUUUGAACAGAUUUUUUUAUGAAAAAAAUCCGUGUGUAUGUAUAAUAUCUAAUUGAUGCUGAGUACGGUAAUAAUAGAACAGAGAAAUAUAUCAAUAAAACUGCUUUGUUUUCUGAAA
This is a non-coding RNA of Salmo salar (Atlantic salmon), 2285 nucleotides long. Lineage: Eukaryota; Metazoa; Chordata; Actinopteri; Salmoniformes; Salmonidae. The record is from RefSeq and is a predicted model, not a curated record.